Long non-coding RNA from Nicotiana tabacum (common tobacco), 2019 nucleotides. RefSeq lists it as uncharacterized. Lineage: Eukaryota; Viridiplantae; Streptophyta; Magnoliopsida; Solanales; Solanaceae. The record is from RefSeq and is a predicted model, not a curated record.
GUUGUAAGAAAUGGGCUGGGCUUGUCUGAUCUGAGCUAUGCCUCUAUGAUCCAGACCAACUUUGGGUUGUCGGGCCUACCCGAAAAGCCCCGGGUGCUCAUGAUGAUCCGACGCAGAAGAAGAAUCGUCACUUGUUCUCCCAGAUCUCUGUCUUGUGAGCAAUUUAUGAGGUUCCUCUGUAGAGUUUUUCAAUUCUUAAAAGUCGAAUCCAUUAUUCAAGAUUUCCCUUUGUUCUCUGAUAUUUCGUGUGAUUCUUUGUAUAAACUCAUACUAUAGAUUAGUGUUACCAUUUUUGAACAACAACAUCACCGAACCCGAGAUGGUAUUCUGCUACCCCUCAUCCCCUGCCAAGUUUGGUGCCACAAUGGCGUGCUUUGUUGGUGGUGGUGCUCUCUUUGCUUUUGGGGUACACUAUUCUUAUAAGUAUAUAGCCCCUCAACAAGCUCGGACUAAGGCUAGGAAUGACUUCGUCAAGGACCGUUUGAGAAAGAAAUAUGGCAAAUAACUCACUCUCUCUCUCUCUCUCUUGUUGUUUUUCUUUUAUGGGAUUUGCUUCAGAGAAUCUGUCUGGAUUACAAGAAAGCUCAGUAACUUAAAUGGAGAUUAGUCUUGUAUAAGCAAUAAUGUUUCAAAAAUACACGUUUUACUCAAUUGCAAGUUUGCAACCCAUGAAGCAUCUGAUUGAAGUCGGGAUUCAUCCACCGAGGAACUUGCAUGCAGUACUUCUUAUGCAACCCAAGUGACUCAUGCUGCUAACCAUCAAUACAUUUGGCUGAGCAUCCCUCUGUGUCAUCAUCAUUGUUCUUAUCUUGGCUUUGAAUUGUUUCCUUCUCCCUGUUGUAUAAUCCUAGAUUCUUUCUCCUUUGUUGCAUCAGUUGGUGUCUGAAAUCCUUUGUUGUAUGAUAUCUUUCUAAGUUUAGCACUCAACCUUGAAACAUUGUGUUUUGCUCAGAAAAUCUUGGUAUGUGCAGUUUCGGCUCCUUUAACUUUGUCAAAUUACAUCUUGACACCUCAGCCUAUUGCAACAAAGAUAUAUCUGGCUUUGUUGUUUGUGAUCUGCUAGUGGAGGGUAUGAACCUCACCACAUGAUCUCUAACAAGUAAAGCGUACUUAUGGCCAGAAAUACAUGUUAAGUUAACACACGUGGAUUUUGAAGUGGUGAAUUCAUGUAAUGGCUUGCUCUGCUUCUUAGAACCGUUGUUCUAUGAUCCAGUCUGGGUUUGCGGUCUAAUUGUUAGUUCAGUACAUCACCCAUUCACAAGCAUGUGAUUGAACUUGAGGAUGAUAUUUGUUUCUGGAUUUCGGGUUGAUACAAAUUCUGGUACCUGAAAUGGAUGAACCUAUCACAACAAGACACCCAACAUGGUGAUGGUCUAGGGUGCAAGGUAAAUAUGAUCAAGCUUAGGUUGAAGCAGCUACGUAUGAGCAAUUACAAUUAAUCAACAUCGAAAUGCUGAUCAUUCUUCUCCACCACCACUUCUACCUUUUGAAACUCCGCGUUGUGAUCCUGAGCUACUGGGAGGGUUCAAUGGGCAGGCACCUCCCCUCAGAAUGCUCAACCUCUACAUCAUUCUGGAGGAUUUGUGCUCAUAUUGAGUCGAUGAAACUAUGCAGGGCCUAAUUCUUUGAGGUGUAAUAUUCAUGGAAUUGCUUUGACGGAGCAGUGAGUGCAGAAUAAGUAUGGUGCAUGCUUCACUGUUUUAUGAAACCAAGCUGGGAAGCAAGAAGCUGGUAAAUUCAGUUAUGCCAUUGAACCUCUUUGUCCGACUAACUUGUGCACUGGUUUAUGAUGGCGAUUUCCGUGGCUUUUCACAUUCUCGGGCAGUGACAUUUUGAUUGGUUUUAAUUGUUCGUCUUCCAUCAGGAAUGUGCAUACUUUCUUUUUUGACUGGGUGUAAGUAGUAAGCAGUCAUCAGUGGAAUCUCCAAUUGCCAAUGGAAAUAGACACUGCCUAAAGGAAAAAGAAAAUUCAGGGCACCAUAAAUUUGUGAAUGUUGCUCUUUAGUGUUCUUGGUUCAA